GUGAAUUGAAUAUGUUAGCGGACCUCUUCGGAGUCCCUAGCAUCAAAUCAUAUCCAUAACACCUGUGAACUGUAAGGCUGUCUUGAAAACGAAUAGUGAUUAGAGCGCCUGCCCAUUUUAUACAAGACAUUAAAGUAACAAACGUAGUCUUAUUAUAAUCUAAUA
Molecule: unclassified non-coding RNA, 165 nt
Filed under: soil metagenome
Description: partial internal transcribed spacer 1
Source: RNAcentral